RNAcentral lists this ribosomal RNA (559 nucleotides) under uncultured bacterium. RNAcentral's name for it is "bacterial SSU rRNA". It matches the Rfam family "Bacterial small subunit ribosomal RNA", at positions 98 to 688 of the family's 1533-position model. The record is from RNAcentral.
GCGGACGGGUGCGUAACGCGUGGGAAUGUACCUAUUGGUUCGGAACAACUGAGGGAAACUUCAGCUAAUACCGGAUGAGCCCGAAAGGGGAAAGAUUUCUCGCCAAUAGAUCAGCCCGCGUCCGAUUAGCUAGUUGGUGGGGUUAAAGCCUACCAAGGCGACGAUCGGUAGCUGUUCUGAGAGGAAGAUCAGCCACACUGGGACUGAGACACGGCCCAGACUCCUACGGGAGGCAGCAGUUGGGAAUCUUGGACAAUGGGGGAAACCCUGAUCCAGCCAUGCCGCGUGAGUGAUGAAGGCCUUCGGGUUGUAAAAUCUUUCGACGGGGACGAUAAUGACGGUACCCGUAGAAGAAGCUCCGGCUAACUUCGUGCCAGCAGCCGCGGUAAUACGAAGGGGGCUAGCGUUGUUCGGAAUUACUGGGCGUAAAGCGCGCGCAGGCGGUCUUCCAAGUCAGUGGUUGAAAGCCCGGAGCUCAAUCCGGAACUGCCAUUGAAACUGUGAGACUUGAGGUACGAGAGAGGUGAGUGGCAUUUCCCAAGUGUAGAGGUUGAAAAUU